This 772-nucleotide ribosomal RNA is filed under the name Oxyrrhis marina. RNAcentral describes it as "partial Bacterial large subunit ribosomal RNA". It matches the Rfam family "Bacterial large subunit ribosomal RNA", at positions 853 to 1725 of the family's 2925-position model. The record is from RNAcentral. Lineage: Eukaryota; Dinophyceae; Oxyrrhinales; Oxyrrhinaceae.
UUCUCCGCGAAAUCUAUUUAGGUAGAGCGUCAUGUAUCACUACUGGGGGUAGAGCACUGUCUCGGCUAGGGGGUCAUCCCGACUUACCAACCCGAUGCAAACUCCGAAUACCAGUAAGUGCAAUCAUGGCAGACACACGGCGGGUGCUAACGUCCGUCGUGGAGAGGGAAACAACCCGGACCUACAGCUAAGGCCCCUAAUUCGUGGCUAAGUGGGAAAGGAUGUGGAAAUCCCAAAACAACCAGGAGGUUGGCUUAGAAGCAGCCAUCCUUUAAAGAAAGCGUAACAGCUCACUGGUCUAAAUAAGCCGUCCUGCGCCGAAGAUGUAUCGGGGCUAAAGUCGUGCACCGAAGCUGAGGACUUCAUCUUAUGAUGGAGUGGUAGCGGAGCGUUCCGUAAGCCUGCGAAGGUGCACCGCGAGGUGUGCUGGAGGUAUCGGAAGUGAGAAUGCUGACAUGAGUAGCGACAAAGAGGGUGAGAGACCCUCUCGCCGAAAGUCCAAGGUUUCCUGCGCAAUGCUAAUCAGCGCAGGGUUAGUCGGCCCCUAAGGCGAGGCAGAAAUGCGUAGUCGAUGGGAAGCAGGUUAAUAUUCCUGCACCAGUGGGUAGUGACGGAUCUCGUGUGUCGUCAGUCCUUAUCGGAUUGAACUGGCGGCGAAGAGGUCCCUGGAAAUAGCUCCCACAUUAGACCGUACCCCAAACCGACACAGGUGGACUGGUAGAGCAUACCAAGGCGCUUGAGAGAACUCUGCUGAAGGAACUAGGCAAAAUGG